AUAUUAAAAAUCAACCGUUUGUGAAUCAAUGCUGGUUGGGCUAGCAAAUCAACGCGGCGUUAUUCACGCGUAUAUCGGUGUAUUCGGUGAGUUAUCGCGUAUUAUUAACGCGCAUACCUUACCAUCUAGUAGACAAAUCGUCGUUAACGUAACUGGUUGAAACCAGACGACAAAAAUGGCAACGUUUUCCUCUAGAAUGUGUCGCCAAUCUCCAGCGUGUAUUGUUUUUGAUCUAACAAUAGCGACCAUGGUUGGAGGUUGUGUGUCAACAAGCAAACGCGGCCAUAAUAAAUUUUUUGCU
RNAcentral lists this ribosomal RNA (301 nucleotides) under Ophidascaris robertsi. RNAcentral describes it as "partial ribosomal RNA". The record is from RNAcentral. Lineage: Eukaryota; Metazoa; Nematoda; Chromadorea; Rhabditida; Anisakidae.